Molecule: ribosomal RNA, 492 nt
Filed under: uncultured bacterium
Lineage: Bacteria
Description: partial 16S ribosomal RNA
Rfam family: Bacterial small subunit ribosomal RNA
Source: RNAcentral
AGUGAACGCUGGCGGUAGGCCUAACACAUGCAAGUCGAACGGCAGCACAGUAAGAGCUUGCUCUUACGGGUGGCGAGUGGCGGACGGGUGAGGAAUACAUCGGAAUCUACUUUUUCGUGGGGGAUAACGUAGGGAAACUUACGCUAAUACCGCAUACGACCUACGGGUGAAAGCAGGGGAUCUUCGGACCUUGCGCGAUUGAAUGAGCCGAUGUCGGAUUAGCUAGUUGGCGGGGUAAAGGCCCACCAAGGCGACGAUCCGUAGCUGGUCGGAGAGGAUGAUCAGCCACACUGGAACUGAGACACGGUCCAGAGUCCUACGGGAGGCAGCAGUGGGGAAUAUUGGACAAUGGGCGCAAGCCUGAUCCAGCCAUACCGCGUGGGUGAAGAAGGCCUUCGGGUUGUAAAGCCCUUUUGUUGGGAAAGAAAAGCAGCAGGUUAAUACCCCGCUGUUCUGACGGUACCCAAAGAAUAAGCACCGGCUAACUUCGUG